CUCCUGUAGAUGAAAAAGACCCAGCUCGAUUACCCCCCUUCAAAGUAGGCAGAUCCACGACUCUUCUUCCGCUAUUCUCUUCCUUGGUUGAGCCGCACUGUCAUUUAUCUUGCAGGCGAGGUACCCUCCGGGACUGACUUUCUUGGAGUUAAUUUUGCGCUGGUUUGCCUUGGCCGUGACACUGAAGCACUUAACCGGGAGCUAGGCUGGAGGUGGAGUAAGAAGGGGAAGCGGAGAAAAAGAAGGCCACACAAUGACAAUAAUAGAUUUCAUAGACGUGAUUGAUGAUAUUGUUGACUUGAGCGGCGAUGAGGAGACUGUUGAAAGGGCGACGUUGCUUGGUACGCAGGCUCUUAUGAUCCUAUCUGGUGAAGGAAGGCAAGAUGCACAGGCUGGUGAAGGAAGGCAAGAUGAUACUGAGUCCGGAAAUGCUUUGGUAGCCGCCACAUCUUCUCCAAGUAUGGAAAAGGCGCCUCUUGAUACGGCUGUAUCACAGAACUCUCCUCACUCUCCAACAGCAGCGCUAUUCGCCAGCUCAGCUACUACCACUCCGACGGCUCUGUCCUCUGAACGUAGUGAUGCGAAGCUGGUGAGUGUGAAGGUGAAACGGCCACACGGGGGGUACUCCUAGGAGAAGUCCUAGACUUGAAGAGAAUAAAAGGUGCCGUAACAAGUCUACAGAAGAGCUGGCAGCCGAUUGCAAGAGCCCUAACAUGCUUGAGCAAGCAGAGGAAUCAGCUGCCUCUAGUCAGAAUGCAGGUUCUGCAAAGAUCCUCUAUACAAACCCUGCAAACUAAGGUAGUUGAAUGAAUAUGAUCCUCUAUGAAACUGUCUAAGUGUCAUUGCCCUAGAGGGAUCGGGACUUGUGUUGCCCCAUCUAUCUCAGGAAAUUAUAUUUGGCCCUUUGUCUCGAACCACUAGGGCAUCUUGUAAAAUUAUGGAACUAUGGU
Triticum dicoccoides is the source of this 950-nucleotide long non-coding RNA. RefSeq lists it as uncharacterized. The transcript is spliced from 3 exons. The record is from RefSeq and is a predicted model, not a curated record. NCBI's taxonomy places the organism in Eukaryota, Viridiplantae, Streptophyta, Magnoliopsida, Poales, Poaceae.